GUAGAGAGAAUAAAUAUAAUAUUUCUUUUGUAUAAUUAUUGUCCUUAAGAGUCAUUGUAUAUGAGGAUAUAUAUGUCAUUUAAUAAUUCAUAAUAGAGUGAGGUCUAGUGAGCAAAUUUGGAGGUCCCAAUAGCCACACUCUUUUAGUUUAGUUUUUGACACAUUUGGUAAUAUUUUGCAAAAUAUAUUUUAUUUGAAGAUAUAGAAGUAGGUUUAACAAAACCAAGGUCUCGUUUGGUAUAAAAAUCAGCUUCUAUACGAUUUUUUUUUUUUUUAAAUUAACGUUAGUUCCAUAUAUUGGUAACUGAAAAUAGGAGUACGGCAUAAAAACAAUCCGCCCUCUAGGACACGUUAGAAUUGAACCAUGCAAAACAACUCAGAAACUUAAGACCUAAGAACCUAAACCAACUUAAGCUAUUUUAAUGUCAUAAACCAUAUGUAAGGUCGACACAAAAACUUGUCUUGGCGGCAAAAAAACCUAGUAACCAGUCACCAAGGCAUAUGUAGGAAGGGACAAGUUCUUAACCCAUCAUUAUUUGACCACUUCCGGGACCACCCUACGCAGAGGGGGCUACCCCAGAGCAUCAGCAAACCCUAAUUAAAGACCAAAGCCUAAGAACUAAGAAAAUGCUCUAGACCCGCACCCCGCAAGCAGUCCUAGUCUAAACUGAAAAAAUAAAAACAGAAACCAAACCAGGCCCAAAGGGAACCCUAGCCCAACUUCUACCAAACAAGAGCUUAAGCUUGAAGAUCUGAACAAAUGGGCCUAGCCCAACACUUUCGGCCAAAACCUUCCCUCACCACCAAUUGCUGGACCAGCAGCAUAGCGCCGAUGUCGUCCAUGUUGUUUCCUUCAUCCAUCAACGACACAUACCGACUGACCGCAGCCGACCACCGCCUCUCGUCAGAAGCUUCGAGAUCCUACCAGAGAACAAAUCUCACUCUUCAAUCCUGCAAACAUAUCCAAUCAAAAGAACAAAUCGAGCCCACCUUUCCGAGAUCCACUCAUCUCUGCCGACCCUACACCUCCCUGAAAACCACCCACAUAUUUACACUGUAACAGCCCAGUCCUUACCAUUGAGAUAUUAUCAACUUUGGACCCACCGGCCCUCACGGUUUUGCUCUUGAGGUUUCACCCCAAAACGUGUCUCAGUGUAAGGUGUUAGCUCUGCGCAUAUAAGCAUAGCAACUUGUCUCCCCCGGGCGAUGUGGGACGGGUGCACCUACUAGCUUGCCUGCCUAGUUAGGUCACCAUAAUCCACCCCCCUCAGGGGCCCGACGUCCGCAUCGAUACACUUCCAACCAGGGACAAGCUUUGAUACUAUCUGUAACAGCCAAGUCCCUACCAUUGAGAUAUUAUUCGCUUUGGGCCCACCGGCCCUCACCGGUUUUGCUCUUGAGUUCACCCCAAAACGCGUCUCAAUGUAAAGUGCUAGCUCUGCACAUAUAAGCACAACAACUUGUCUCCCCCGGGCGAUGUGGACCGGGUGCACCUACUAGCUUGUCUGUCUAGUUAGGUCACCACAAUCCUUAUUGUGAUGACUAUUGUGGUGACCUAACUGGGCGAGUGCUAAGAAGGGCACUGGCAAGCUAGUAGGUGCACGCGUCCCACAUCGCCCAGGGGAGACAAGUUGAUGUGCUUAUAUCUGCAGAGCUAGCACCUUACAUUGAGACGCGUUUUGGGGUAAGACCUCAAGAACAAAACUGUAAGGGCCAGUGGGCCCAAAGCGGACAAUAUCGCAAUGGUAGGGACUGGACUGUUGCAUACACCCACUCUCUGACACAACAAAGCUUAUCCGAACGUCUUCGAGCCGAAGACUCAAUCCAGCAGACUCGUCCGGGUGUGCCUGAUGUACGCCAGCUAGGCCAGAGGCCGUCGUCGGCACGAGGUGUAACUGCUCGAUUUGAUCUCUGCGGUUGCUCUCGCCCUAGGGUUUUGGAGAGUGGCGUGGUUGAAACUAUAUUAAAGGCAGAUAUUAUAUACAAACUUUUAGAUUUAAUAGUGUUUGGUAAACUAAUCAGCUUCUAUAUGAACUUUUAGAUUUAAUAGAGUUUGGUUAACUAAACAAAAAGUUUUUUCUGAAAAUUACUGGUGUCACAUCCCGACCCGUAAAUUUUUACCUUAUUUACUAGCUUGGUUAUAAUAAGAAUUUUACCGUCUCCGUCAUUGAAGUUAUAGUUUAAUUGGUCCCUAGAGGGGUUUCGGGGACAGUUAUGCUCGGAGGAUUAUUUGUAGGAGGAAAAUAUGACGACGGUAAAAAUGGUAAAUUUUAGCUAGUAAAAGGUAAUUUUUAUUCGGGUAUUAUUUUUCGGGGUGUUUUAUUUUUUGGAGUUGGGUUUAUAUUUGGUUUGGGUAGGAACCGGUUUAGGAAAAAAAAAAAAAAAAAGCCCAAACCCUAUUCUCUCUUCUCUCUCUCCUCCCUCCCGACUUUCUCUUCUCUCUCUCUCUUCUCCACGCCGGAGCGCCGUCGUCCGGCCGUCGCUGGUCGAGCUACCACCCCCAAUCGACUUGUCUCUCUCUCCUCUCUCUACUGCUACCCAUCAACUUGCCAGGCAUCAUCUAUCCCGUCCGAUCGAAACAAGAACCCUAAAUCCCCAAAACCCAAAUUCCGGCCGAAUCUUUUCUUUUCCAGUGAGCUUGUGCUUCGUGAAGGUAUGCUCAUCACUUCCCUCUAGUUUUUCGGUCUUCCUUGAGCUUCGAUUUCCAAAUAUAGAGCCCUAAUCAGAUUUCCCCCUUUCUUUGUUUUCUGGGUUUGAAGUUCGGUCUCCAACAAGGGCUUUUGUUCUUGAAUUUCAGUGUGUCCGUCGAGCUCAGGCGAACCUAGUUGUGGUUGGUGGGAGCCCCGACGCACUUUGGAAGAAGUNNNN
This 2868-nucleotide long non-coding RNA is filed under the name Fragaria vesca (wild strawberry). RNAcentral's name for it is "long non-coding RNA (FVES_LNC003488)". Lineage: Eukaryota; Viridiplantae; Streptophyta; Magnoliopsida; Rosales; Rosaceae. The record is from RNAcentral.